GUUACAAACAACUACUUGAUGUGAAAAUAGUUAUUAACAAGCGUUACAAGCCUCGACAAGCACAACGCAAAAGUACAAACUUUAAAAUAAAAUAUUAAUAUUCUAUCAGUUUUUCUGUCCGAUCUCAAUGUCAUAGACAUAAUUGCCAUUGUCACUCUGAAAUAUAUAUAGAAAAAUCAUCUAACCCCCUUAUAUAAUUAGCCAUACUGCUUGUUUAAUUGUUAUUGGUUAGUUUAUUGGC
Molecule: non-coding RNA, 241 nt
Organism: Paramuricea clavata
Lineage: Eukaryota; Metazoa; Cnidaria; Anthozoa; Malacalcyonacea; Plexauridae
Source: the annotation of a GenBank genome assembly